AACGAACGCUGGCGGCAUGCCUAACACAUGCAAGUCGAACGAAGCCUUCGGGCUUAGUGGCGCACGGGUGCGUAACGCGUGGGAAUCUGCCCUUUGGUUCGGAAUAACAGUUGGAAACGACUGCUAAUACCGGAUGAUGACGAAAGUCCAAAGAUUUAUCGACAGAGGAUGAGCCCGCGUAGGAUUAGCUAGUUGGUGUGGUAAAGGCGCACCAAGGCGACGAUCCUUAGCUGGUCUGAGAGGAUGAUCAGCCACACUGGGACUGAGACACGGCCCAGACUCCUACGGGAGGCAGCAGUGGGGAAUAUUGGACAAUGGGCGAAAGCCUGAUCCAGCAAUGCCGCGUGAGUGAUGAAGGCCCUAGGGUUGUAAGGCUCUUUUACCCGGGAUGAUAAUGACAGUACCGGGAGAAUAAGCCCCGGCUAACUCCGUGCCAGCCGCCGCAGUAA
RNAcentral lists this ribosomal RNA (449 nucleotides) under uncultured bacterium. RNAcentral describes it as "partial 16S ribosomal RNA". It matches the Rfam family "Bacterial small subunit ribosomal RNA", at positions 29 to 523 of the family's 1533-position model. The record is from RNAcentral.